This 310-nucleotide ribosomal RNA is filed under the name Chaetopteridae sp. RG-2014. RNAcentral describes it as "SSU rRNA". It matches the Rfam family "Eukaryotic small subunit ribosomal RNA", at positions 1331 to 1662 of the family's 1831-position model. The record is from RNAcentral. Lineage: Eukaryota; Metazoa; Annelida; Polychaeta; Chaetopteridae.
ACGAACGAGACUCUAGCCUGCCNAAUAGUUAGCGGAUACCGAUUCGUCCGCUUUAACUUCUUAGAGGGACAAGUGGCGUUCAGCCACACGAGAUUGAGCAAUAACAGGUCUGUGAUGCCCUUAGAUGUUCGGGGCCGCACGCGCGCUACACUGAAAGAAUCAGCGUGUGUCUACCCUGGUCCGGAAGGAUUGGGUAACCCGUUGAACCUCUUUCGUGCUAGGGAUUGGGGCUUGUAAUUAUUCCCCAUGAACGAGGAAUUCCCAGUAAGCGCGAGUCAUAAGCUCGCGUUGAUUACGUCCCUGCCCUUUG